Molecule: ribosomal RNA, 862 nt
Filed under: uncultured eukaryote
Lineage: Eukaryota
Description: SSU rRNA
Rfam family: Eukaryotic small subunit ribosomal RNA
Source: RNAcentral
CCGCGGUAAUUCCAGCUCCAAUAGCGUAUAUUAAAGUUGUUGCAGUUAAAAAGCUCGUAGUUGGAUCUCGGGUCCGGGCUCGCGGUCCACCUCGCGGUGGUUACUGCCCGUCCCGACCUACCUACCGGUUUUCCCUUGGUGCUCUUAACUGAGUGUCUCGGGUGGCCGGAACGUUUACUUUGAAAAAAUUAGAGUGUUCAAAGCAGGCGCUUCGCCUGAAUAAUGUUGCAUGGAAUAAUGGAAUAGGACCUCGGUUCUAUUUUGUUGGUUUUCGGAACUCGAGGUAAUGAUUAAGAGGGACAGACGGGGGCAUUCGUAUGAUGGUGUUAGAGGUGAAAUUCUUGGAUCGCCGUCAGACGAACUACUGCGAAAGCAUUUGCCAAGAAUGUUUUCAUUAAUCAAGAACGAAAGUCAGAGGUUCGAAGACGAUCAGAUACCGUCCUAGUUCUGACCAUAAACGAUGCCGACUAGCGAUCCGCCGGAGUUGUUUCAAUGACCCGGCGGGCAGCUUCCGGGAAACCAAAGUCUUUGGGUUCCGGGGGAAGUAUGGUUGCAAAGCUGAAACUUAAAGGAAUUGACGGAAGGGCACCACCAGGAGUGGAGCCUGCGGCUUAAUUUGACUCAACACGGGAAAGCUUACCCGGCCCGGACACCGUAAGGAUUGACAGAUUGAGAGCUCUUUCUUGAUUCGGUGGGUGGUGGUGCAUGGCCGCUCUUAGUUGGUGGAGCGAUUUGUCUGGUUAAUUCCGAUAACGAACGAGACUCUAGCCUAUUAAAUAGUUCGCCGAUUUCGAUCUGUCGGCGUUAACUUCUUAGAGGGACAAGUGGCUUUUAGCCACGCGAGAUUGAGCAAUAACAGGUC